Non-coding RNA from Cinara cedri, 266 nucleotides. NCBI's taxonomy places the organism in Eukaryota, Metazoa, Arthropoda, Insecta, Hemiptera, Aphididae. The record is from the annotation of a GenBank genome assembly.
UUACGCGUAUGUUUUCGUAAUAAUAAAUGUACAACGAAAUUUUGUAAAUAUAAUGAAUUUCCGACGAAAAUAAUAAUUAUCUAAGCCGAAACGUAUAAAUACGAUAGUAUAACACACGCGCUAGUGCACACUUCAAUGAAUUAUCCAAACGAAACGAAAGUUCGAUCCGUUUAACGGUUAUUCGCGUUCGCGUUCAAUUAUAUUUAAUAUACCUGCGUACGUGAACUUUGAAAGUUCUUAAGGCGUACAACGUCUCGAGUUUGAUU